UUUUAGAUUUUUUUAUCUGCUCAGGACGAACGCUGGCGGCGUGCCUAAUACAUGCAAGUCGAACGAACUCUGGUAUUGAUUGGUGCUUGCAUCAUGAUUUACAUUUGAGUGAGUGGCGAACUGGUGAGUAACACGUGGGAAACCUGCCCAGAAGCGGGGGAUAACACCUGGAAACAGAUGCUAAUACCGCAUAACAACUUGGACCGCAUGGUCCGAGUUUGAAAGAUGGCUUCGGCUAUCACUUUUGGAUGGUCCCGCGGCGUAUUAGCUAGAUGGUGGGGUAACGGCUCACCAUGGCAAUGAUACGUAGCCGACCUGAGAGGGUAAUCGGCCACAUUGGGACUGAGACACGGCCCAAACUCCUACGGGAGGCAGCAGUAGGGAAUCUUCCACAAUGGACGAAAGUCUGAUGGAGCAACGCCGCGUGAGUGAAGAAGGGUUUCGGCUCGUAAAACUCUGUUGUUAAAGAAGAACAUAUCUGAGAGUAACUGUUCAGGUAUUGACGGUAUUUAACCAGAAAGCCACGGCUAACUACGUGCCAGCAGCCGCGGUAAUACGUAGGUGGCAAGCGUUGUCCGGAUUUAUUGGGCGUAAAGCGAGCGCAGGCGGUUUUUUAAGUCUGAUGUGAAAGCCUUCGGCUCAACCGAAGAAGUGCAUCGGAAACUGGGAAACUUGAGUGCAGAAGAGGACAGUGGAACUCCAUGUGUAGCGGUGAAAUGCGUAGAUAUAUGGAAGAACACCAGUGGCGAAGGCGGCUGUCUGGUCUGUAACUGACGCUGAGGCUCGAAAGUAUGGGUAGCAAACAGGAUUAGAUACCCUGGUAGUCCAUACCGUAAACGAUGAAUGCUAAGUGUUGGAGGGUUUCCGCCCUUCAGUGCUGCAGCUAACGCAUUAAGCAUUCCGCCUGGGGAGUACGGCCGCAAGGCUGAAACUCAAAGGAAUUGACGGGGGCCCGCACAAGCGGUGGAGCAUGUGGUUUAAUUCGAAGCUACGCGAAGAACCUUACCAGGUCUUGACAUACUAUGCAAAUCUAAGAGAUUAGACGUUCCCUUCGGGGACAUGGAUACAGGUGGUGCAUGGUUGUCGUCAGCUCGUGUCGUGAGAUGUUGGGUUAAGUCCCGCAACGAGCGCAACCCUUAUUAUCAGUUGCCAGCAUUAAGUUGGGCACUCUGGUGAGACUGCCGGUGACAAACCGGAGGAAGGUGGGGAUGACGUCAAAUCAUCAUGCCCCUUAUGACCUGGGCUACACACGUGCUACAAUGGAUGGUACAACGAGUUGCGAACUCGCGAGAGUAAGCUAAUCUCUUAAAGCCAUUCUCAGUUCGGAUUGUAGGCUGCAACUCGCCUACAUGAAGUCGGAAUCGCUAGUAAUCGCGGAUCAGCAUGCCGCGGUGAAUACGUUCCCGGGCCUUGUACACACCGCCCGUCACACCAUGAGAGUUUGUAACACCCAAAGUCGGUGGGGUAACCUUUUAGGAACCAGCCGCCUAAGGUGGGACAGAUGAUUAGGGUGAAGUCGUACAAGGGGAACCAAAACCCACUCGGAGCAUGCGAAAGACGUUGGGAGGAGGAUAUGGGGAUCGGGGGCCAAGC
Molecule: ribosomal RNA, 1593 nt
Filed under: Lactiplantibacillus pentosus
Lineage: Bacteria; Bacillati; Bacillota; Bacilli; Lactobacillales; Lactobacillaceae
Description: Lactobacillus pentosus partial 16S ribosomal RNA
Rfam family: Bacterial small subunit ribosomal RNA
Source: RNAcentral